GCAGAGUUUCACUGCAAAAGAUCUUUAAUCAAUUAGAUGUACUUAUUUUCCUAUUUGCAGUAAUUUAACAUUUGAAUUAAGCAUAUUGAAAAAUGCAGCAGAUAUAUUCUGAUUUUAUCAAAAAUAAUGUCUCUGUAUAUUGUGGCUAUAAUUCUAGGCAGUAUGAAACUGUGGUUCCACUCGAAGAUUCCAUUGUGACUGAGGUUACAGCAACUCUUCAAGAAUGGGCCAGUCUGUGGAAACAACUAUAUGUUGUAAGUAUUUGUUUAUAGUUUACUGUAGCAUUAAAAUUCUUUUGUACCAAGUAAAUAUAUAUUCUAACCUAACCCAAUCUACUGUUUGAAAUUUUUUAAUAUUUUCAAAUGUAUAUUCCUAAUAUUAACCAAAACAUAGUAGACUAGGUUUUUUCCAACCUGAAGAGAACAUAUUCAUACGUCUGUAGUCUCUCUACCCUACUUUAGUCACUAGAAUGUAAUUUUCAUAGCAUUAAGAAUCUUAGCUAUCUUAUGGUUUUCUGUGUGCUACAUGCUUUUAUAAAAAUGAAUAAACAAUGCAUGAGAAGAGUUUAACUUUUAUUGUUUGUGAUCCUAAUAGUGACUAAUGACCAGGGAAUUGUAUGUAGUAAUUUCUUACAACUACUAAGCCUAGAGGAUAUACCAUAUAUAACAUUUUGUUAGGCUAACAAUUAUUUGAAAAUAUAAAAGAAAUGAAAUAAAGACCAAGUAUUAUAAAAAUCCUCUAUGAACUUAAGAAAGUUGAAGAUGAUAAAAUAUCAAAUAAUUAUAAUAUCUGCACUAAAAAUAAAUAACAGUAUUUGAGUUCUGAAUGAGAUAGCCAUUUACAUUCCGCUUAAGGUCUGGCUGGGUUCUAUAUAUGAUGCAGUACACAUAUUCCAAUUUAGUUCUUUUACUAAUUAUAGCAUCUAGGCAAACUACCUACCAGAAAACUUCAAAAAUUAGUGAAAAGAAGGUAGACAGGCUAGGCACACUGAAAGCAUAAUUCACAAAAGAACAGCUUUAUAAAAUGGACUUAUAAAGACUACCAUCUUUUGCUCUCUGAAUGACCGUAUUAAGAGGAUGAAAAGAUAAGACUAUAGACUGGAAGAAAAUAUGUAUAAGUCACAUAUUCCUCAAAAGGCUUAUAUCUAGAACAUAUAAAGAAGUCCCUAAACUGAAUUAUAAUAAAGUAAUUUGGUUAGAAAAUGAGCAAAUGACUUGAAUAGAUAUUUCAUUAAGGAGGAUAUAGGCAGCCAGUAAGCAUGUGAAAAAGAUUUCCAUGUGGUUACUCAGUCAUUCAUUAAAUGUAUUCAUUAUAGUAAUACAAAUGAAUACUACAAUGCUAAUGUUCUAUUUAAAAUAUAAAUGUUAGCACUUUUCUAUGUAAUUUCAAGUCUAAUCAGUAAUUAACAACUUCUUGAGUUCAUAUGAUUCUUAAAUCAUAAUAAUUAUAUAAAUAGGAACUAUACUCAUUUUCCUAAUAUACUCUUUAAUUUUUCUUUACUAUUCAAGAAAAUAAAUCAAACAGAUAUGAUUAAUAGGGGAUAGAUCUUUGAUGGAGAGUAAUAUAAUUCAUAUAAUUCUUACAUUAACUCAUUAAAAACAAUAAGAUUUAUAAGAUAUUAAUUUCAUAUUGAUGAUAAUAGUAUUACUAUUACCGUCAUGUGGUGUUUAAUGAUGGGGAAAAAUUCUGAGAAAUGCUUCAUUAGGUGAUUUUACUGUUGUGCAUACAUCACAAAGUGCUUAUGCAAACUAAGAUGGCUGACGUGGGCCACCAUUAUAUAUGUAGUCUGUUGUUAACUGAAACACAUGAAUGUAAUUAACAUAUGCUUACUUUGUGCCCAUUUGUCAUAUUUUACAUUCAUUGUUUUGUUUUAAUUGUCAUCACAAUUAUUAUCCUUUUCAGAUUACAGAUUGGAAACUGAAACUUAAAAAGGAUAAGGAAUAUAUCCAAAGUCAUAUAAGCAGUGAGUGUACAUCAAGAACCCAAACCAUUAAACUCAUUAAACUCCAGGGCUUUAAUAAAGGCAUUAUUUUAUCUUUUGGAUUAUUCUUUUAAUAUCUCACAUUUAGUUUUAGUAGCUGCCUAUUACUGUCUUAUGAUAGGAAAUUGAUUAUCUGUAAGUGGCAUUCUUUACCCUAGAUAGAAAUAAUGCCUCUUUAAACAGAUAUUUUUUUCUUUUUCAAGUAAGAAUACACAGUCUGAGUUUAGUAUGGCAGGUCUACAGUUAUCAAUGACUCAGGCUCAUUGAUUCUCAAUACAGGAGCUAAAAAUACACACACACACAAACACACACACACAUCAGAGAAAAGAGCUUUUUCAACAAAUGGAGCUGGAAAAUUGAACAUCAACCUGUAAAAGAUUGAAACUAGAUCCCCAUCUCUUACCCUAUACAAAGUUCAACUGAAAAUAGAUUGAAGACCUCAGUGUAAGACCUGAAAUUACUAGAGGAAAAUGUAAAAGAAACACUUCAGAUACUGAUAUAGGCAGUGAUUUCCUGAAUGGGAUUCUAGUCGCUCAGUAAUUAAUAACAAGAAUUGCCUAAUGAGAUUAUAUCAAAUUAAAACACUUCUUUACAACAAAGGAAGAAGAGUGUAGAGAUAGCCUAGAAAUGGGAGAAAAUCUAUUCCAGUUAUUCAUCUGACCAAGGAUUAAUAUCCAGAAUGUAUAAAGAACUUGAAACAUAACACCAAAAUAAUAAGUGAUCCAAUCAGUAAAUGGCAAAUGAGCUGAAGAGACAUUUCUGAAAAGAAGUAAAGAUAUUCAACAAAUAUAUGAAAAAAUGUUCCUUACCAUUAGUCAUUAGCGAAAUGCAAAUCAAAACUACAAUGGCCACAAUUAGAAUGGCCAUUACCAAGAAAACAAAAAUUAGCAAAUAUUGGCAAAGAUUCAGGGGAAUAGGAACCCUCAUACACUCUUGGUAGGAAUGUAAACUAAUACAGCCACAAUAGAAAACAGUAUUGAGGUUUCUUAAAAAACUAAACCAGAAUUGCCAUAUGAUCAUGCUAUGCCACUAAUAGGUAUAUAUCUGAAGACAGCAAAGCCAGCAUACAGUAGAGAUACCUGCAUACACAUGUUUAUCAUGCAACUAUUCAUUAUAGCCUAUAAAAUCAGCCUAGAUACUCAUCAAUGUAUAAAGGGAUAAAGAAAAUGUAGAAUAUAUACACAAUUAUUAUUUCGCAAUAAAGAAAAAUGAAAUUAUGUUAUUUGCAGGAGAAUGUUUGUAACUGAAGAUCAUCAUGUUAAACAAAAUAAGCCAGCUCAGAAAAAAAAAUAUCAUAUUUCUUUCAUAUAUAGAAUCUUUAACAAUAAUAACAAAACCCAUGACAUGAAAGUAGAAGAGAAACUUUUAGGAAAGGGAGAAUAGGGGACGGUGGAUAUGGUCAAAAUUCAUCAUAUGCAUGUAUGGAAAUUGUCACAAUGAAACCCAUUUACUAUGCAAUUAAUAUAUAUUAGUAGUUAAAUACAUUAAAAUAACAAGCACUUGGGCUUAUUUUGUCCUCCUGCUUUAUUGUCCUCUUUAUUAUACUUCAGCCUGGUGGUCCCAGAUGGCUAAUACUAUACAGCAUAUCUAUAGUCUGGCUUGUAGAAUGAAAGAAAGAAAGAAAAAAAAGGAAUCUGCCUUUUAAAAAAAAAAGAAUACUUCUUAAAAGUUGUGGAAAACAUUCCCUGCUUACUGCAUAUUGGUUAAAAUUGAAAUCACAAAGUAAUCUCUAGAUUAAACAGGCUGAGAACUGGUCUUUAUUCCAAAUGACCAUAUAUUAGCCAAAUAUCAUGGUUUCUAUUACUAUGGAAAAAGAGGAAAAUGAAUAAUGAGGAAUCACCUACAAGAACACCAUAGUGAUGAUGACUCUUGUUUCCAUAUAAAGCUCUAAUGAACUUCCUUUGCUAAAUCUGUUUAAGAAAUAGUGGAAUUCAGCAGCCCAUAGAAUAUUUUAUUUAUAUGGAACAAUGAAUUUUAGGUAAAACAUAGAAAAGUGAUAAAGGUAUUGUAUUGUUAAUAAUCAGUAGAUUCACCUAAGCUUUCCUUUACAUUUUUUUCACAAUUUGAUAUGCAUUUGUGAGGAUAAAUAUAUGUGCAUAAAAGUUAAAAUGGUACCAACAUGAUAUCUUCUGUUAGAGUAGAUAACAAUAAAAAAUGUUUUGAAUAAAUCAGAGCUGCUAUUUGAUGUAAUAAUUUUGAAAAUUUAACCUUUGAAAAAUCUUCUAGGUGUGCAUUCACACCUGAUACACUUGUUUUUCCAGACAUGGUGGGGGUGGGCGUGGACAUGAAAGGGGAGAUAAUUGAAAAGAAGAUGGUUUCAAACAAUAAUUUUUAUACUUUUUCUCAGAAUUUUUUUGUAUGUAUGUGGUCUUGGGGAUUAAGCCCAGGGACAUACUACCACUGAGCUCUAUCCCCAGCCCUUUUAUAAAUUUUGAUAUAUGAUUAGCCAAGUCUGACUUCAAACUUGUGAUCCUGUUGCCUCAGCCUCCUGAUUCAUUGGGAUUAUAGGCAAGUGCCAUGAAGCCAGCUAAAAGAAGUUUGAAAUUGCUAAUAUGUCUAGACAUUUUUCAGUUUUAUGAAUAAGAUCUUGUUGCUUUUUUUUUUCAUUUCAACAGCAGUGUUGCUUGUUAGUUUUAGCCUACUGUUUACAUGACAAAUGUCAAAUGAUUGUUUUCAUUCUGUUAUGCACAUGGGAGGUCAGAUACAUAGCCAACUAGAUUUUAAAAUGUGAAUUUAUUCUAGUGUUUAAUUCUAGUAAAAAGUCAUAACUCUUAAGCAGGUUUUCAAACUUCAUGGGACAGAAUACAAAAAACUACCAAGCAGGCACAGUUUAAAUGUGUUACUAUAAGACUUAAUCCAAAUAAACAAAAGUCAUAUUCAAAUUUGUCUUUCUACUGGAAUAGAAGAAUCUGUUAUAUUACUAAAAUUAGGCAGGAAACUCAACAGUUCUCCCUUUGUUUUCCCUACUUAAUUCCAAACCUCAUAGUUGUUUCUUAAUCUAAGUUUACUAAGAGGCAGUUAAUUACCUGGCUAUCAGCAAGAAGAAGUACUAAUGUUUAACCAGAAUGAAUCUAGCCAAUAGCCUCUCAAUACUAAUUUGUCUGACUUUGAAAACACAAGGAAAAUAUAAAUAAAUGAUAAAUGGUAAAGUAUGAGAAAUAAGUCUUAAGUUUAUGACUAUAAAGAUGGAUUUCUUUCUAUAGAAAGAAUGUAUAAAAAUUAGUAAGAAAACCAGUGAAGACCCCAAUACAUAAUCAGUAAAAACAAAAAUAAGCCAUUUUCAAACACUAGACUAGGGAAAUGACCACUCUUAACUAAUGAUCAAAAGAGAUGUAAAUGAAUUCAAUGAGAUAAUAAUUUUCCUUUUAAUUAACAGAUAAAAUGGAAAUUAUCUUCUGCUAUCGAAAUCCAUUGAUGGAUACCUUCAUUCUUUGCUGCUGGAUAUCAAGUUUUGUUAGCACAAUUGGAAAAAAAACCUUAAAAAAUUUUCAGAUUCUAGUAAUUCUAAUCCUGAGAAUUUUAAGAGGAUGUAAAUAUAGUAUGGGGUGAGUCUAUUCCAUAAGUAUGUCCAUUGCAGCAUAAUUUCAGUAGCAAAAAUAAGUUUACUAAUUGUUCCAAUUAUGGUCCAUUUAAGAUUGAUGACUUAGUGUUUUCAUGUAAAAAGCCAUUAAAAAUUUAAAUGUUAUGCAAUAAAGUGAAGGUGUAUGUACAAAUAAUAUGUAAAGUAUGAUCUUAUCUGUAUUCUGAAAAUAUGUUUGGAAAUAGAUGAGGAAUAUGUACCAAAAUAUUAGUGGCAAUUACCUGAGCAUUAAUUUCUUCUAUUUUCAAAUUUUUCAGUUGUAAAUAUUUAUUGUUUUAAUGGUUAGGAAAAAUAAAAUGGUACUUUCACUUAUAAAAUAAGCACAACAAAUGAUAAUAUGAAAUAAUACUACCAAUAUUGUCAUUAAGUAGUGUCUACAAGAACUUAAAAAGGAUUAUGCUACUUAAUUUGCUAUGUUUCAUGCUUAUCACAUUGUUAGCAAGCAUUUAUUAGAUUCUUUUGGGGGGUAUACUCUCAAACCUUUUUAUUUUUUGAGACAGGGUCUUGCUAAGUUGCUUAGGGACUUGCUAAAUUGAUGAGGCUGGCUUUGAGCUGUGAUCCUUCUGCCUUAACCUCCCAAGCUACUGGGAUUACAGGCAUACACUAUUGCACCUGGCCAUAUUGAUUAAAUUCUAAUGUAGUUUUUGUGGAAUAGAAAAGAGCUUUGGACUUGAACUUGAAUCCGAGUCUGCCAUCUUCAAUGUUAAAGGCUUGGUAUUAGAUCUUAGUUUUUUUUGUGCUAUGACUAGGUAUUAUAAGCCCACUUCAAAGAGGUCUUAAAAUGAAAUAAUAUAUAAUUCAAGUAGUCUAUAGAUAUUAAUUGCACCGUCCUGUUUUUGAUAUACAUUAUAUUUCUGUGUGUAUACAUGUUUGGCAUCUAUUUCCUAAUAAUAGAGUGAUAGUAGUUUCAUCACUUAAGUUUCUCUGUAUAUAGAAAUAAAUAGACAUAAUGAAGUGGAUUUCAUUUGUAUAAUGGGGUGUUUGGAUAAGAAAAUAUGCAUGUAUGUGUACACACAAUAAACACACACCGAUACAUGUAAAAUACGUACAUGCACAUUUGAACCAGGAUAGAAAAAACCCCAUCCUUCUAAAGUGGUUAAUACAAUAAUCUCCCGAUAGAUGGUGGGAUGAGAUAGACAUCAUUACUCUUAGGUUCAUAUAUGAUUGCAUGAAUGGCACAACUCUACAUUGUGUACAACCAGAGAGUUGAAAUGUUGUGCUCCAUUUGUGUAUGAUGCUUUGAAAUGCAUUCUGCUGUCAUGUACAACUAAGUUGAACAAAUAGAAAAAAAUAACCUCCCUAAUCAGUAAUUUUAUUUUGACAGGAAAAAAAUUACCUGAGAACUAUCAGUUGUGGAAAAUGGUGACAUUAUUAUGUAUUCCUGUCUAAAC
RNAcentral lists this long non-coding RNA (6952 nucleotides) under Marmota monax (woodchuck). Lineage: Eukaryota; Metazoa; Chordata; Mammalia; Rodentia; Sciuridae. The record is from RNAcentral.